ACGGAAGGCAGCAGUGGGGAAUAUUGCACAAUGGGGGAAACCCUGAUGCAGCGACGCCGCGUGAAGGAAGAAGUAUCUCGGUAUGUAAACUUCCAUCAGCAGGGAGGAUAAUGACGGUACCUGACUAAGAAGCCCCGGCUAACUACGUGCCAGCAGCCGCGGUAAUACGUAGGGGGCAAGCGUUAUCCGGAUUUACUGGGUGUAAAGGGAGCGUAGACGGAAAGGCAAGUCUGAUGUGAAAGGCAGGGGCUCAACUCCUGGACUGCAUUGGAAACUGUUUUUCCUGAGUACCGGAGGGGUAAGCGGAAUUCCUAGUGUAGCGGUGAAAUGCGUAGAUAUUAGGAGGAACACCGGUGGCGAAGGCGGCUUACUGGACGGCAACUGACGUUGAGGCUCGAAAGCGUGGGGAGCAAACAGGAUUAGAUACCCUGGUA
RNAcentral lists this ribosomal RNA (434 nucleotides) under uncultured Blautia sp. Its description in RNAcentral is "partial 16S ribosomal RNA". It matches the Rfam family "Bacterial small subunit ribosomal RNA", at positions 341 to 792 of the family's 1533-position model. The record is from RNAcentral. Lineage: Bacteria; Bacillati; Bacillota; Clostridia; Lachnospirales; Lachnospiraceae.